UGGGGAAUAUUGCGCAAUGGGGGCAACCCUGACGCAGCAACGCCGCGUGAAGGAAGAAGGUCUUCGGAUUGUAAACUUUUGUCUUAAGGGACGAAAAAGGACGGUACCUUAGGAGGAAGCCACGGCUAACUACGUGCCAGCAGCCGCGGUAAUACGUAGGUGGCAAGCGUUGUCCGGAUUUACUGGGUGUAAAGGGCGUGUAGGCGGGCUGAUAAGUCAGAUGUGAAAUACCGGGGCUUAACCCCGGGGCUGCAUUUGAAACUGUCAGUCUUGAGUGUCGGAGAGGUAAGCGGAAUUCCUAGUGUAGCGGUGAAAUGCGUAGAUAUUAGGAGGAACACCAGUGGCGAAGGCGGCUUACUGGACGAUAACUGACGCUGAGGCGCGAAAGCGUGGGUAGCAAACAGG
Molecule: ribosomal RNA, 405 nt
Filed under: uncultured bacterium
Lineage: Bacteria
Also listed under: 1 other name
Description: bacterial SSU rRNA
Rfam family: Bacterial small subunit ribosomal RNA
Source: RNAcentral